Felis catus (domestic cat) is the source of this 3026-nucleotide long non-coding RNA. RefSeq lists it as uncharacterized. The transcript has 3 exons. Lineage: Eukaryota; Metazoa; Chordata; Mammalia; Carnivora; Felidae. The record is from RefSeq and is a predicted model, not a curated record.
UGAGGACACAGCAAGAAGGCAGCCACCAGCAAGUCAGGAAGAAAGCUCUCACCAGAAACCAAAUCAGUCCUGACCUUGGACUUCCAGCCUUCAGAACUGUGAGAAAUAAGUCUCUGUUGUGUAAGCCACCCAGCAUAUGGUAUUUUGUUUUGACAUCCUGAGAAGACUACAAUACCCCACGAAAUAUACCCUGCCAGGCAGAUUGGAUCAUCCCGUUUUCAAGAUGCAACAGCCGAGGCCCAGAGAAACCGAACGCUUUCCCCAAGUUCACAGAAGUAGUGGGGGCGGACUUAGAGACUCAGAGUCAGGUGACACGCCCGAGGGCAUGGUGCCACCAGGUGCCAGAGCCAUCAUCGUUGUGCUUCACCGCCUGAGCUUCCUCCAUCACACGGCACUGCAGGUACGAAAACUUUACAGCCACUUCAUUCAGAAUAGCCUCCACCUGGCUGUAACAGCAGAAAUAUCCACCAACAGUGGGAUAAAUAAAUGGAGGGACGCUCCCAUAACGCCAUAUGGUAAUGACAGUGGACAAGUUCGGCUACACGCAACACCAUGGGCCAUUCCCACAAACGAAGACGAACAAAAUAAGUGAGACACAGAAGAAUACACAGCACACUAUUCUACAUAGAGAAAGAUUAAAAAUAUAUCUGAAAAUAAACUCGUGUUAGAAAUGGGGGGGGGUGGCAACUUUGAGGGAGAAGGGACGGAAAGGAUGGGAGGAGCUGUGAUGGGCAGUCACCCAGGUGGCUGGAUGAUUCUGGAUGCCUUGAUCCAUUUACAGUUCAUCCUCUUCUGAUAAUGCAUUAAGCUGUAAGACUUAAGAUUUCUCCUUUUUUCUAUAUGCACGUUAGGCAUUCGUAAGUUUAUUUUAAAGGGCUGUUACAAUGGUGUGUGAUAAAGGCCAGUGUUGAGGGGGCUCAAAAUGCUGCCAGGGAGAGAGGAGAUAAAAGGAACUGGGGAUGGGGAAGAAGGGUGGAGACACAGGGCGGAGCUAUAAUGUGAUCCACAGCAAGUACAGAGGGGGUUUGAGGCUGUGUAGCCAGAGGCGUAUUUCUGGGCACCCUUGGCUCAGCAGGAAUUUUCCCCAUUCCUGCACGUGCAAAAUGAAUUCAAAUGUAUACGUUUUGCAACUUGCCUUUGUUUGGGGCUUUGUAAUUUACAGUUUGCAAGGUCAUGAUCCCUGCAAAGAUAAGAACUGUUAAUCCAGGCAUAAAGUGGGCCUUCAGCAAAUGUUUGCUUGAAUGAACACAAAACGCUCUGACCUUCAUUAACACCAUGAUUUCUCACAGGCAGUCUGCAGAUAAGCAGGGUAAGUGUUACUAGUUUCCUUACACAGGGGGAAACCAAGGCUCCUGGGAGUUAAGAGGCUUCUUACAAACGGGCCAAAGCCUGGAAGCAGGUUGAAUCCUGGCUUGCUGCCUUUGAGGCCUGUGCACUUGGACAGUGCUGGAAGCAAGAGCCAAUGCCCUCCUUCCAAGCAAGGCUCCCUCCCUAGUCUAGUUGUGAAAGCUAACAUGAGUCAAGCCCAUGUUAAGUCCCGCACAGGGCGGCGUAGUGCAAAGUCUUGCCUUCACCUGCAGCUGCAUUUUCUCUUUGGUUAUUGGUGACCUUUCACUACUCCGAAAGCAUGCAUACUCUCCCUGCUGAGGACACAGCAGAGAUGCAAUAAAUUAUCACAACAGCUCAUACAAAAUGAAAGUGGGCCAUACCCUUGAAUCUCUCUCUCCCUCUCUCUCUCUCUCUCUCUCUCUCUCACACACACACACACACACACACACACACACACACACACACACCCCAAGAAGCAGGAGGCCUGAAGGGAUAGCAGCCAGUCCCCUCGCAAGAACUGAGGGAUUUGCUGCCAGAGGAUGCCCAGGUAGAAGCUAAAUUGUGCUGUCCCUUGUGAGUGUCGCUUAGCAUAAUUAUAUCCCCAGAGAAUCCAGGCUUCCAGAUGGGCCUUAGAGCAUCGUUUACAUACAGUAUUUUAGGCCAAUAACAUGGUUCUAAUGAAGCAGGAAGGAAGAACAAGAAUAAUAAAAUUAAAAAGUCAAAUUUCCGUCCUUAAUCUCCAGGGCUGCAAAUAGGACGUGGCUGCGGCUCAGAGGCGGUGAGGGGGGUGGGGGUGGGGGGCAGAAAGAAGCCUGUUUCUUACAGAGUCCGUGACAGGGGUGAGCCUCAAUCCCAAUGCCUCUGAUCUGCAUCUCCUUGGAGUGGGAGAAGGUGCAGGGAGCCUAAAAAGACUCAGGGAGGGAGAUCCUGAGCUUGUCUGCCUGCUUCCACAUCCCUCUCCAACUUGGGGAGUCCCCAGAGAAUGUGGCCUUUAGCAGAUCCAUUUAUUUCAGGUUGAAGGAGUGGCGUCCGGGGACGUGUCCAGAAGUGCUUGGAGAGACCUCCAAGCAGAUGGGUCCUGCUCAACCACGUGUCCUGCCAACUGAGACCUGCCUUUCCUCUCGGGCUGCCGCUCAGUUUUUGGCCCGCCCCCAGUUCCAAUGCCUCUGGGAGACCAUUUCUCGCAUGUGUGCUCAUUCGUUUAUUCAAUGUCUGCUCUGAGAUGCACACCAAGGGUCCAAAGAGGGACACAACUGCCGCCCCUGCCCUCAGGGGGCUCACAGGCAGGCAGUUAAGAGCAGAGGAAGGUUCUCAGUGUGUGUGAGGUGCUUUGACAGAAAGCAGUUGUUAAUGAGUUAUUAAUGUGUAAUGUGUGUGCACGUGCUGGUGGGGCACAAUUAACACUUUCUUCCAGGUCCAGAGACCUCUGUGGGCCAGCCACAGCCAGCGCCACAGCCUGAAGUCCCACCUAGCCCCCAGGAAGGCACUGCUAUGCUCAUCCAUUGGCCCCUCUUCUCAACCAGACUCCCCGCCCAGCUAGGUUCCUGAAGUAUAUCCUUCAUCCCCACCCCAGCACAGAGCGAACUGAACGCACCCAUGACCUUGCUCAACUAUGCCGAGGCACCAGACAAGUCCUACAGCAGUGGCCUGAGGUGCACUAACACUCAUAACAGAAGACCAGGGCUUAGUCUUUUUUU